CGACCGGCGCACGGGUGAGUAACACGUAUCCAACCUGCCGUCUACUCUUGGCCAGCCUUCUGAAAGGGAGAUUAAUCCAGGAUGGGAUCACGAGUUCACAUGUCCGCAUGAUUAAAGGUAUUUUCCGGUAGACGAUGGGGAUGCGUUCCAUUAGAUAGUAGGCGGGGUAACGGCCCACCUAGUCAACGAUGGAUAGGGGUUCUGAGAGGAAGGUCCCCCACAUUGGAACUGAGACACGGUCCAA
RNAcentral lists this ribosomal RNA (244 nucleotides) under uncultured bacterium. RNAcentral's name for it is "partial 16S ribosomal RNA". It matches the Rfam family "Bacterial small subunit ribosomal RNA", at positions 92 to 334 of the family's 1533-position model. The record is from RNAcentral.